Molecule: long non-coding RNA, 325 nt
Organism: Suricata suricatta (meerkat)
Lineage: Eukaryota; Metazoa; Chordata; Mammalia; Carnivora; Herpestidae
Exons: 2
Source: RefSeq, a predicted model, not a curated record
UACUUCCUUGCAGGCCAUCUGAGCGCCGGGCGCGGUGGCGCGCGCCUGUAGUCCCAGCUACUCGGGAGGCUGAGGCAGGAGGAUCGCUUGAGCCCAGGAGUUCUGGGCUGUAGUGCGCUAUGCCGAUCGGGUGUCCGCACUAAGUUCGGCAUCAAUAUGGUGACCUCCCGGGAGCGGGGGACCACCAGGUUGCCUAAGGAGGGGUGAACCGGCCCAGGUCGGAAACGGAGCAGGUCAAAACUCCCGUGCUGAUCAGUAGUGGGAUCGCGCCUGUGAAUAGCCACUGCACUCCAGCCUGGGCAACAUAGCGAGACCCCGUCUCUUU